This 472-nucleotide ribosomal RNA is filed under the name uncultured Rhodocyclaceae bacterium. RNAcentral's name for it is "bacterial SSU rRNA". It matches the Rfam family "Bacterial small subunit ribosomal RNA", at positions 910 to 1382 of the family's 1533-position model. The record is from RNAcentral. Lineage: Bacteria; Pseudomonadati; Pseudomonadota; Betaproteobacteria; Rhodocyclales; Rhodocyclaceae.
UUGACGGGGACCCGCACAAGCGGUGGAUGAUGUGGAUUAAUUCGAUGCAACGCGAAAACCUUACCUACCCUUGACAUGUCCGGAAUCCCGAAGAGAUUUGGGAGUGCUCGCAAGAGAACCGGAACACAGGUGCUGCAUGGCUGUCGUCAGCUCGUGUCGUGAGAUGUUGGGUUAAGUCCCGCAACGAGCGCAACCCUUGUCAUUAGUUGCCAUCAUUUGGUUGGGCACUCUAAUGAGACUGCCGGUGACAAACCGGAGGAAGGUGGGGAUGACGUCAAGUCCUCAUGGCCCUUAUGGGUAGGGCUUCACACGUCAUACAAUGGUCGGUACAGAGGGUUGCCAACCCGCGAGGGGGAGCUAAUCCCACAAAGCCGAUCGUAGUCCGGAUCGCAGUCUGCAACUCGACUGCGUGAAGUCGGAAUCGCUAGUAAUCGUGGAUCAGCAUGUCACGGUGAAUACGUUCCCGGGUCUU